This 253-nucleotide ribosomal RNA is filed under the name uncultured bacterium. RNAcentral's name for it is "partial 16S ribosomal RNA". It matches the Rfam family "Bacterial small subunit ribosomal RNA", at positions 524 to 776 of the family's 1533-position model. The record is from RNAcentral.
UACGUAGGGUGCAGGCGUUAAUCGGAAUUACUGGGCGUAAAGCGUGCGCAGGCGGCUCCUUAAGUCAGAUGUGAAAUCCCCGGGCUUAACCUGGGAACUGCGUUUGAAACUGGGGAGCUUGAGUGUGGAAGAGGGGGGUGGAAUUCCAGGUGUAGCAGUGAAAUGCGUAGAGAUCUGGAGGAACACCGAUGGCGAAGGCAGCCCCCUGGGCUAACACUGACGCUCAUGCACGAAAGCGUGGGGAGCAAACAGG